GACGAACGCUGGCGGCGUGCCUAAUACAUGCAAGUCGAGCGGAUUUUCGGAAGCUUGCUUCCGAAAAUUAGCGGCGGACGGGUGAGUAACACGUGGGCAACCUGCCUGUAAGACUGGGAUAACUUCGGGAAACCGGAGCUAAUACCGGAUACAUUCUUCCCUCGCAUGAGGGAAGAUGGAAAGACGGUUUUGCUGUCACUUACAGACGGGCCCGCGGCGCAUUAGCUAGUUGGGGGGGUAGUGGCCCAGCCAGGCGACGAUGCGUAGCCGCCCUGAGAGGGUGACCGGCCACCCUGGGACUGAGACACGGCCCAGACUCCUACGGGAGGCAGCAGUAGGGAAUCUUCCGCAAUGGACGAAAGUCUGACGGAGCAACGCCGCGUGAGCGAAGAAGGCCUUCGGGUCGUAAAGCUCUGUUGUCAGGGAAGAACAAGUACCAUAGUAACUGAUGGUACCUUGACGGUACCUGGCCAGAAAGCCACGGCUAACUACGUGCCAGCAGCCGCCGUAA
RNAcentral lists this ribosomal RNA (511 nucleotides) under uncultured bacterium. Its description in RNAcentral is "partial 16S ribosomal RNA". It matches the Rfam family "Bacterial small subunit ribosomal RNA", at positions 28 to 523 of the family's 1533-position model. The record is from RNAcentral.